GACGAACGCUGGCGGCGUGCUUAACACAUGCAAGUCGAACGGAAAGGCCCUGCUUGCAGGGUACUCGAGUGGCGAACGGGUGAGUAACACGUGGGUGAUCUGCCCUGCACUUCGGGAUAAGCCUGGGAAACUGGGUCUAAUACCGGAUAGGAGCCAUUUUUAGUGUGAUGGUUGGAAAGUUUUUUCGGUGUAGGAUGAGCUCGCGGCCUAUCAGCUUGUUGGUGGGGUAAUGGCCUACCAAGGCGGCGACGGGUAGCCGGCCUGAGAGGGUGGACGGCCACACUGGGACUGAGGGAAGGCCCAGACGCCGACGGGAGGCAGCAGGGGGGAAUAUUGCACAAGGGGCGCAAGCCUGAUGCAGAGACGCCGCGGGGGGGAUGACGGCCUUCGGGUUGAAAACUCCUUUCGCUAGGGACGAAGCGUUUUGUGACGGUACCUAGAUAAGAAGCACCGGCUAACUACGUG
This 465-nucleotide ribosomal RNA is filed under the name uncultured bacterium. Its description in RNAcentral is "partial 16S ribosomal RNA". It matches the Rfam family "Bacterial small subunit ribosomal RNA", at positions 28 to 507 of the family's 1533-position model. The record is from RNAcentral.